Molecule: transfer RNA, 74 nt
Filed under: Clostridiales bacterium
Lineage: Bacteria; Bacillati; Bacillota; Clostridia; Eubacteriales
Also listed under: 10 other names
Description: tRNA-Gly
Rfam family: tRNA
About the family: Transfer RNA (tRNA) molecules are approximately 80 nucleotides in length. Their secondary structure includes four short double-helical elements and three loops (D, anti-codon, and T loops).
Source: RNAcentral
GCGGGUGUAGUUCAAUGGCAGAAUCCCAGCCUUCCAAGCUGGUCGUGUGGGUUCGAUUCCCAUCACCCGCUCCA